GUAGGGAAUAUUGGGCAAUGGAUGCAACUCUGACCCAGCCAUGCCGCGUGAAGGAUGACGGCCCUCGUGGUUGUAAACUUCUUUUGUACGGGAAUAACCCUCCGAACGUGUUCGGAGCUGAAGGUACCGUAAGAAUAAGGAUCGGCUAACUCCGUGCCAGCAGCCGCGGUAAUACGGAGGAUCCAAGCGUUAUCCGGAUUUACUGGGUUUAAAGGGUGCGUAGGCGGAUUGAUAAGUCAGUGGUGAAAGCCUACAGCUUAACUGUAGAACUGCCAUUGAUACUGCCAGUCUGGAGUAUGGUUGAGGUAGCUGGAAUGUGUCAUGUAGCGGUGAAAUGCUUAGAGAUGACACAGAACACCAACGGCGAAGGCAGGUUACCAACCCAUUACUGACGCUGAGGCAUGAAAGCGUGGGGAUCAAACAGGAUUAGAAACCCCGGUAGUCC
Molecule: ribosomal RNA, 445 nt
Filed under: uncultured bacterium
Lineage: Bacteria
Description: partial 16S ribosomal RNA
Rfam family: Bacterial small subunit ribosomal RNA
Source: RNAcentral